UAAAGACCUUAAACAUAUUUAAAUCUAAAUUUUAAGGUAAUAGAAGAUGAUACACUUUUUUUCCUUUUCUUUAUUCUAAAAAAAUUGUUUUAUUUUGCACAUAUAUUUUCCUCGAAGACAUCCUAGUUAAUUACUUAGAUCUUCAUAUAUUCCUAUAUAAGGCAUAACGUUGAGAAAUGCUCAUCAUUUUGCCGAUGCCUCUCAUUUCUAGAAUCUAUGAUUCUAUAUCAUCAUCAUCAUCUAUAACGAUAAUUUCAUCCCUCACCAUCAUCAUCAUAGGCUUCCACCACAUCUUCACCAUCCCAAUCAUCAUCGUUAUUAUCCGCAAUCAUUUUUCUCCCCCAAAAUGUCUGCAAAUGUUUGCAACAAUUUAGAAACAUAAACAUAAUACUUAUAAAAAGAACACAUGACAUUCAGGUCAAAAGACAGCAAUUACCUUUUUUUUUUAGAGAGAAACAGCAGCAGCAACGUUACCUGUUGCAUGAAGCCUCUCCCUCUACACACAAUAGUUGAUCCUGACAACCCAAAAGUCGUGUGCUGCAUUUAAAGCACGGGUACCAUUUGGUGAUGUAAAUAAGAAAUUAUAACUAUACAAUUACGUGCUUUUUAAUCAAUAAUUUUGAAUACUACUAGAAUACACAAUUUUCAAAAGAUGAUCCAACACAAUAACUAUUUGCACCUAGUGCAAGUAUGCAUUGACUAUCAGUAGUUAGUUAGUUUAGUUCCUGAAAAUAUGAAUCCUUUCU
RNAcentral lists this long non-coding RNA (746 nucleotides) under Glycine max (soybean). RNAcentral's name for it is "long non-coding RNA (GMAX_LNC001909)". Lineage: Eukaryota; Viridiplantae; Streptophyta; Magnoliopsida; Fabales; Fabaceae. The record is from RNAcentral.